This 483-nucleotide ribosomal RNA is filed under the name uncultured bacterium. RNAcentral's name for it is "partial 16S ribosomal RNA". It matches the Rfam family "Bacterial small subunit ribosomal RNA", at positions 30 to 507 of the family's 1533-position model. The record is from RNAcentral.
AUUGAACGCUGGCGGCAGGCCUAACACAUGCAAGUCGAGCGGAUGAGGGAGCUUGCUCCUGGAUUCAGCGGCGGACGGGUGGGUAAUGCCUAGGAAUUUGCCUGGUCGUGGGGGAUAACGACCGGAAACGGGCGCUAAUACCGCAUACGUCCUGAGUGAUAAAGCGGGGGAUGUUCGGACCUCACGCUAUCAGUUGAGCCUAGGUCGGAUUAGCUAGUUGGUGGGGUAAAGGCCUACCAAGCCGACGAUCCGUAACUGGGCUGAGAGGAUGAUCGGUCACACUGGAACUGAGACACGGUCCAGACUCCUACGGGAGGCAGCAGUGGGGAAUAUUGGACAAUGGGCGAAAGCCUGAUACAGCCAUGCCAAGUGUGUGAAGAAGGUCUUCGGAUUGUAAAGCACUUUAAGUUGGGAGGAAGGGCAGUAGGUUAAUACCUUGCUGUUGUGACGGUACCAACAGAAUAAGCACCGGCUAACUUCGUG